AGUGAACGCUGGCGGCGUGCUUAACACAUGCAAGUCGAACGAGAACGGAAUAUAGCUUGCUAUAUUUGUCAGCUAAGUGGCGCACGGGUGAGUAAUGUAUAGAUAACCUGCCCUUAAGAAAGGAAUAACAGUUGGAAACGACUGCUAAUGCCCUAUAUGCCUUUAAUACAUAAGUAUGCAAGGGAAACGCUUUAGUGCUUAAGGAUGGGUCUGUAUGGUAUCAGCUUGUUGGUGAGGUAAUGGCUCACCAAGGCUAUGACGCCUAACUGGUUUGAGAGGAUGAUCAGUCAAACUGGAACUGAGACACGGUCCAGACUCCUACGGGAGGCAGCAGUGGUGAAUAUUUCACAAUGGACGAAAGUCUGAUGCAGCAACGCCGCGUGGAGGAUGACACAUUUCGGUGCGUAAACUCCUUUUAUAUAGGAAGAUAAUGACGGUACUAUAUGAAUAAGCACCGGCUAACUCCGUGCCAGCCGCCGCAGUAA
Molecule: ribosomal RNA, 485 nt
Filed under: uncultured bacterium
Lineage: Bacteria
Description: partial 16S ribosomal RNA
Rfam family: Bacterial small subunit ribosomal RNA
Source: RNAcentral